RNAcentral lists this ribosomal RNA (254 nucleotides) under uncultured bacterium. RNAcentral's name for it is "partial 16S ribosomal RNA". It matches the Rfam family "Bacterial small subunit ribosomal RNA", at positions 524 to 776 of the family's 1533-position model. The record is from RNAcentral.
UACGGGGGGGGCAAGCGUUGUUCGGAAUUACUGGGCGUAAAGGGCGCGUAGGCGGCUCGCUAAGUCGGAUGUGAAAACUCUGGGCUCAACCCAGAGCCUGCAUUCGAAACUGACGAGCUCGAGUUCUGGAGGGGAAAGCGGAAUUCCUGGUGUAGCGGUGAAAUGACGCAGAUAUCAGGAGGAACACCGGUGGCGAAGGCGGAUCUCUGGGCCUUACCUGACGCUCAGGCGCGAAAGCUAGGGGAGCGAACUGG